This 478-nucleotide ribosomal RNA is filed under the name uncultured bacterium. RNAcentral describes it as "partial 16S ribosomal RNA". It matches the Rfam family "Bacterial small subunit ribosomal RNA", at positions 28 to 523 of the family's 1533-position model. The record is from RNAcentral.
GACGAACGCUGGCGGCGUGCUUAACACAUGCAAGUCGAACGGUAAGGCCCUUCGGGGUACACGAGUGGCGAACGGGUGAGUAACACGUGGGUGAUCUGCCCUGCACUUCGGGAUAAGCCUGGGAAACUGGGUCUAAUACCGGAUAGGACCCUGGGAUGCAUGUCCUGGGGUGGAAAGCUUUUGCGGUGUGGGAUGGGCCCGCGGCCUAUCAGCUUGCUGGUGGGGUGAUGGACUACCAAGGCGACGACGGGUAGCCGGCCUGAGAGGGUGACCGGACACACUAGGACUGAGAUACGGCCCAGACUCCUGCGGGAGGCAGCAGUGGGGAAUGUUGCACAAUGGGCUCAAGCCGGAUGCAGCGACGCCGCGUGAGGGAUGACGGCCUUCGGGUUGUAAACCUCUUUCAGCACCGACGAAGCGCAAGUGACGGUAGGUGCAGAAGAAGGACCGGCCAACUACGUGCCAGCCGCCGCGGUAA